UGGUUGUUGGUUAAAAAAAAGCACAAGUGAGAUCAUUUUCUCUCAUUUCCCAUUUGAAGGACGACACAGUAGAAGGCAAAAGAUGUGUGGCGUAGAUGAAAAUGCAACUUCCUGUUAAGAAAGGGCCUUAACGCAAAGCUGAAGAGGAGAGUGUCUCUGACACUGCUCUGCUGUCUCUAGACCCCUAAAAACAGCUUAAGGAUUUUUUUUGAAGGUGAAAACUCUCCGGCAACUGAACCGACCGAUUAGACGCACGAGAACACGACAUAUGGUGUCUUAGAAACGGCUUUUGAACUCUUGGAUAUGGCGAGAUUUUUUACGCUAGGACCCUUGGUUUUGGUCCUAUGCUUGGUCUUAUACCCCCCAAACUCACAGACUGAAGGAGACAACAAACCAAAGACAGAUGUCAGUGCUGACCAAUCAAAGAACGCCACACCUCCCACUGCUCACAUCCCUACAUUACCUACCACUAAAGACCCCUCAAACUCACAGACUGAAGGAGACAACAAACCAAAGACAGGUGUCAGUGCUGACCAAUCAAAGAACGCCACACCUCCCACUGCUCACAUCCCUACAUUACCUACCACUAAAGGUAACCACGACAACACGCAUCACCACAGCACACACACACUCCAGCAUUAUACAGUAUCUCUCUCACACUCAUCACUCAUGACCUCUGACCUCCAUCCUCCCAUCAUGUACACUGUGAACUCUCCUUCAGAAUCACAUCUUCAGUGCUGCGCUCAUGAGCAGUGUUAUACUUUUAUAAUGUUGCUAAUCUUUAUUUAUAAGAAAGUGUUUCCUAUAAGAAUCCCAUAAUAACUGUUCUGCAGGUUGAUGUCUUCACAUGAUAAACAGAUAAGGGUCAAAAUAAUAUUGACCAACAGCCAAGGCAUUAUUUUUGAUGAAUGUUGCAAAUAAUACAAAUACUGAAUGGCAUUUCAUGUUGAGUUUAAAGUCUGUAAACAUAAGUUAUUUCAAAUGAAUAUGUGACCUCUAUCCUGUGACACAGUCUACAUUAGAACCAGUAAAGAAGCGCUUGGGUUACUUGUAGGUGAAUAGAUGUAGCUCGUCUUUCAAUAAUCAGUCAUAUUCAUUAGAUUCUGGAAACAUUCACAUUAUAGAAAAGUGUUUUUUAUAUAAUCUAUAACAAAGGUCAUUUUUAUUGAAUUAUAGGUAACUUCACAAAUAGAUCUAGAAAAAAAAAAAAAAAAAACAUUGAUUGUGAUGUUACUUGUGUGUAUUUACUGAAAUAGCUUUAUAAUAUAGAAAUAUUUAGCAGUAUCUAGUAGUCACACUUAGAAAGUUUGAUCCUUUAUUGUACAGACAUGUACAAUUUUUAUUGUAUUUUUUUUUUCCUCUGAGAACAGAGUUUAGAAUAACACUCACCUCUAACAGGUAAUGAAGUGCCCAGAUUACUUGUAAAUGAGUUAGUUUGAGUUAUUAUUAUUAUUAUUAUUAUUAUUAUUAUUAUUAUUAUUAUUAUUGUAAUAUUAUUAUUUAAUUUUUUUCGUAUUCUCAAAAUCCCAUUUCUAAAAAUUCGUAAACAUGGUUUCUC
Long non-coding RNA from Carassius auratus (goldfish), 1558 nucleotides. NCBI's taxonomy places the organism in Eukaryota, Metazoa, Chordata, Actinopteri, Cypriniformes, Cyprinidae. The record is from Ensembl.